UACGUAGGGACCAAGCGUUGUUCGGAUUUACUGGGCGUAAAGGGCGCGUAGGCGGCAAUUCAAGUCAGCUGUGAAAUCUCCGGGCUUAACUCGGAACGGUCAGCUGAUACUGCUUUGCUAGAGUGCAGAAGGGGCAAUCGGAAUUCUUGGUGUAGCGGUGAAAUGCGUAGAUAUCGAGAGGAACACCUGCGGCGAAGGCGGGUUGCUGGGCUGACACUGACGCUGAGGCGCGAAAGCUAGGGGAGCGAACGGG
This 253-nucleotide ribosomal RNA is filed under the name uncultured bacterium. RNAcentral's name for it is "partial 16S ribosomal RNA". It matches the Rfam family "Bacterial small subunit ribosomal RNA", at positions 524 to 776 of the family's 1533-position model. The record is from RNAcentral.